UACAGAGGUCCCAAGCGUUGUUCGGAUUCACUGGGCGUAAAGGGUGCGUAGGUGGUGAGGUAAGUCGGAUGUGAAAGCUCGGAGCUCAACUCCGAAAUGGCAUUGGAAACUACCUUGCUCGAGGGUUGGAGGGGGGACUGGAAUACUUGGUGUAGCAGUGAAAUGCGUAGAUAUCAAGUGGAACACCAGUGGCGAAGGCGAGUCCCUGGGCCGGAACUGACGCUACGGAGCGAAAGCGUGGGGAGCGAACAGG
RNAcentral lists this ribosomal RNA (253 nucleotides) under uncultured bacterium. Its description in RNAcentral is "partial 16S ribosomal RNA". It matches the Rfam family "Bacterial small subunit ribosomal RNA", at positions 524 to 776 of the family's 1533-position model. The record is from RNAcentral.